RNAcentral lists this ribosomal RNA (205 nucleotides) under uncultured bacterium. RNAcentral's name for it is "partial 16S ribosomal RNA". It matches the Rfam family "Bacterial small subunit ribosomal RNA", at positions 524 to 725 of the family's 1533-position model. The record is from RNAcentral.
UACGUAGGGUGCGAGCGUUGUCCGGAAUUAUUGGGCGUAAAGAGCUCGUAGGCGGUUUGUCACGUCUGCUGUGAAAACUGGAGGCUCAACCUCCAGCCUGCAGUGGGUACGGGCAGACUAGAGUUCGGUAGGGGAGUCUGGAAUUCCGUGGUGUAGCGGUGAAAUGCGCAGAUAAUCGAGGAGGAACACCGGUGGCGAAGGGCGG